RNAcentral lists this long non-coding RNA (207 nucleotides) under Lathyrus oleraceus (garden pea). RNAcentral's name for it is "Pisum sativum (pea) long non-coding RNA (PSAT_LNC027513)". Lineage: Eukaryota; Viridiplantae; Streptophyta; Magnoliopsida; Fabales; Fabaceae. The record is from RNAcentral.
AUAAUUUCUAGUUUCUAAUUUUGAUUUUUUAUAUUUUUUAUUUUGUCAUUUGAUAUUUUUUGUGAAUUUUCUCUUUUCUGGUUAUUUUUAAUUCAUUUUAAAUAGUUUUUGAUAUUCAAAAAAUACAAAAACAUUUUCCUAACCUAUUUGAAUAAUGAUGAAUCUAUGAAAAAUAUUCUCAUCAAUUUUUUAAUUGAUUUGAGAUUU